CUUAGCUCUAGCACGUUCUAGGGGAGAAGAGAAUACAAGUCUGGUUACUACAGCUGCAACGACCCAUUCCCAGCAUGAAGGGCCUGACCCCGGUCCUAGCAAGGAGGAGAUGUGAACUUGACUUAGAGUCACCAUGUAUCUGAGGAAGACUGACAUCAUGAGACAACAACUCAAUAAAUGAAAGAACACACAUCCAAAGAAAUAGAAAUAAUAAAGCAAUAUAAAAAGGAUUUAAGAGAGAGAAAACCACUUGGCUGGAAUUAGACUGGCACUAGACCUACUGAACGGAAUGGCUCUUCCCACCUGUAUAAUCUCCUGCUUGGAGCAUGCUCUGGAAGGAACCUCCUCUGGAAGCCGUGCUUGAGUGCCCAUAUCUGGGCCAUAUGCCCCCCAGCCUGGAGCACCCCCUACACUGCACUGCAACAGCAGGUUGACUUGUCUGUCUCCAUUGCACUGUGAACACCAAGAGGGCCAGGAGACUGUGUGUCUUUAGCCCUUGGAACAUGGUGUGGCAGGAGGAAGACAGAAGAAAGGGCCCUGGACAAUCGGGAGGUCUGAGCACACAGGUGCAGGCAUGCAGUGUAGGCGUGUGGGCCAGGGUGACUCGAGGGGCUGGGACCGACACGCCUCAAGAGGAGUUGGAGAAAGGGGUCAACCUCCUCUCUGGAUGGGACAAGGUGAGGCCAGCACGUGAAGAGGCUUUUGGUUCUCCUGAUCUCUUGAAAGCCACCCAAAUACAGAGGCAGGGGUGGAUCCCGCCCACUCAGAUGGCUUCAUUGGCCCCCAGGAACGCAGCAAGUGCCAAGAUGAAGGGGAAGUCAGGGUCACAAGAAAUAACACUGCACUGGGAGGAACAAGGCAUCCUCAGCAUGGGCAAACCUGGAGCUCCUGGAAGUGGAUACGAGGAGAAGAGAGGGAAGGAGAGGGGUGAACAGAGCUCUCACGUGCAGGCACAGGCUGUGGGGGCGGGUAGUGCCAAGGUUGCAAGCAAGAGUGAGGGGCCUGGAAAAAUGACAGAAGCCCCCAAGUCUGAACUACAACCUGAGUAUAGAACACACACACAUGCACACACAGAGGCACACAUGGCCAUUUCUCCAGCCAGGGCCUCUCUCCACCCAGACCCCAUAAGCAGAGAGAAAGGAGGAAAGAGAGGAGGAUACUCACCGACAUCAGCCUGCCGGACGUUUUUCAUCCGGAUGACCCUCACUGUCAACAGGUGGCAUGGAGACAGCCCCUCCUGCAGAUUAAGAGCACAGUGGAUUCACUCUUCAAGCAUCAUCUUAAAGCCAUUGCCCCUGGCCUGCCUGCUUGCAUUGCAUCAACCCUCAUGCUGCCCUGCCAUUGUUUGCUAGGGGAUCGUCUUCCCAGCCUGGAAGGUUCUGAGAGACUGGGGACCCUGCCUGGCUUUUCUUCUUUGUACCUCCAGUACCUGCAGCGUGCUGAUAUGCAGAGGGUGCUCCAUAAAAGUUUGUUAAAGGAGUGAAUGAAUGUUCUACCCCAAAUGUAGAAUGAACACUAAUGGCAAGGGAGUCCUUGGGUGCUUCCACUCUCAUUUCCUCAUUGACCAACUUCUCGGCAUUCCCCUCCUACCAUGCCCUACACAGGGAAACCCACCCUCUUGCCUACUUGGGAAGCAGGCACAGGGGGGCUCUGGGGGCUGAAGACACUGAUCAAGGCAAGACAUUACUCACCUGGAGAUGUCAUGCCAGGUGCCCCCCCGACCCCCGCCUGCGCUCAGCUGCAGCCCAGGACCUCUU
Long non-coding RNA from Microcebus murinus (gray mouse lemur), 1757 nucleotides. RefSeq lists it as uncharacterized. The record is from RefSeq and is a predicted model, not a curated record. NCBI's taxonomy places the organism in Eukaryota, Metazoa, Chordata, Mammalia, Primates, Cheirogaleidae.